GACCCAUAUGGCUAAAAAUCAAGGGAACAUAUGUCAAACUCAAUAGCCUCACUGUGAAUAGCCAAUGAUACCAUAGGUCAAAAGACCACUCACACCACUGCAGCAUCGAGAAGACCAUUGACGAGUGAGUAGACAUUCAUAUGGUUCUUGUGUUGGUCACGCUCAGUGCAAGUUAUUCUCUAACAACCAUCUGUACCUUCACCCCAGUGUCUCUACACCAC
Molecule: long non-coding RNA, 221 nt
Filed under: Elaeis guineensis (African oil palm)
Lineage: Eukaryota; Viridiplantae; Streptophyta; Magnoliopsida; Arecales; Arecaceae
Description: long non-coding RNA (EGUI_LNC064419)
Source: RNAcentral